UACGUAGGGUGCAAGCGUUGUCCGGAAUUAUUGGGCGUAAAGAGCUCGUAGGCGGUCUGUCGCGUCGGCUGUGAAAUCCCGAGGCUCAACCUCGGGUCUGCAGUCGAUACGGGCAAACUAGAGUAUUGCAGGGGAGACUGGAAUUCCUGGUGUAGCGGUGAAAUGCGCAGAUAUCAGGAGGAACCCCGGUGGCGAAGGCGGGUCUCUGGGCAAUAACUGACGCUGAGGAGCGAAAGCGUGGGGAGCGAACAGG
Molecule: ribosomal RNA, 253 nt
Filed under: uncultured bacterium
Lineage: Bacteria
Description: partial 16S ribosomal RNA
Rfam family: Bacterial small subunit ribosomal RNA
Source: RNAcentral